UACGGGGGAUGCAAGCGUUGUCCGGAAUCAUUGGGCGUAAAGAGUUCGUAGGUGGUUUGUAAGGUCAGGUGUUAAAUUCAUAGGCUCAACUUAUGUACGGCACUUGAUACCGGCAGACUUGAAUGCGGUAGAGGUAAAGGGAAUUCCCGGUGUAGCGGUGAAAUGCAUAGAUAUCGGGAGGAACAUCGGUGGCGUAAGCGCUUUACUGGGCCGUAAUUGACACUGAGGAACGAAAGCCGGGGUAGCAAAU
This 250-nucleotide ribosomal RNA is filed under the name uncultured prokaryote. RNAcentral describes it as "partial 16S ribosomal RNA". It matches the Rfam family "Bacterial small subunit ribosomal RNA", at positions 524 to 773 of the family's 1533-position model. The record is from RNAcentral.